AAAAAUUUAGUUAAAAAAUAACAUUAGUCUGUCAAGCUAAAAUUAUACCCCGUAUAAUUUUUA
Molecule: transfer RNA, 63 nt
Filed under: Staphylinoidea sp. 15 KM-2017
Lineage: Eukaryota; Metazoa; Arthropoda; Insecta; Coleoptera
Description: tRNA-Asp
Rfam family: tRNA
About the family: Transfer RNA (tRNA) molecules are approximately 80 nucleotides in length. Their secondary structure includes four short double-helical elements and three loops (D, anti-codon, and T loops).
Source: RNAcentral